Molecule: ribosomal RNA, 253 nt
Filed under: uncultured bacterium
Lineage: Bacteria
Description: partial 16S ribosomal RNA
Rfam family: Bacterial small subunit ribosomal RNA
Source: RNAcentral
UACGAAGGGGGCUAGCGUUGUUCGGAAUUACUGGGCGUAAAGGGCGCGUAGGCGGUCUUUUAAGUCAGGCGUGAAAGCCCCGGGCUCAACCUGGGAAAUGCGCUUGAUACUGGAAGGCUAGAGUUCCGGAGAGGAUGGUGGAAUUCCCAGUGUAGAGGUGAAAUUCGUAGAUAUUGGGAAGAACACCGGUGGCGAAGGCGGCCAUCUGGACGGACACUGACGCUGAGGCGCGAAAGCGUGGGGAGCAAACAGG